Molecule: long non-coding RNA, 369 nt
Organism: Coregonus clupeaformis (lake whitefish)
Lineage: Eukaryota; Metazoa; Chordata; Actinopteri; Salmoniformes; Salmonidae
Exons: 5
Source: RefSeq, a predicted model, not a curated record
CCCUCCACUUUCACUCCACCCUGGCCAAGCAGGGUGAUGUUGUGUUUGAAGCGGAGGGGGAGUGUGGCCGACCAUGUCCCCUCAGACUGUCAGAAGCAGGUCGUGUCCAGUGGCAGCGCUCUCUCCUCUCAGACUCCUCCUCCUGGAUGCUGGACAGCAGACUGGCCUCGGAGCUCUGCACUCGCUGGCAAAGCCACAAAGACCAGCUGCCCUGCAGGUGGCCCAGACUACCAGCGGAGACCUCGUCACCUCUAGACUUUGGUGCUAUCCCUGUCAAUGAAAGCAAGGUUAAGCUGCUGACUCUGAAGAACCCCUCCUCCUCUGUGGUCUCUGUGGAGAUCAGAGCCCUCUCCCUGUACCCGGCCCCCC